RNAcentral lists this long non-coding RNA (329 nucleotides) under Lathyrus oleraceus (garden pea). Its description in RNAcentral is "Pisum sativum (pea) long non-coding RNA (PSAT_LNC013955)". The record is from RNAcentral. Lineage: Eukaryota; Viridiplantae; Streptophyta; Magnoliopsida; Fabales; Fabaceae.
CAAAUCAAAACUAAUAAAAUGCCAGAGAUUACAGGUAAGGGGGUUGGUUACACAGAGGGAAGGUGUUAGCACCCAAAGUGUCCUAGGUAAAAAGUACGAACAAAACCCAAAAGAUAAGAAGUUUUCAAAUCAAAACUAAUAAAAUGCCAGAGAUUACAGGUAAGGGGGUUGGUUACACAGAGGGAAGGUGUUAGCACCCAAAGUGUCCUAGGUACUCAUAGGGACCCCUUUUUUUUGUACAUAUGUGUUUUUGUACAAAUGAUGUUUGCAAACAAAUGGAAUGAAGGGAUGAGAAAAUAAUUCAUUAAUUAUAUUUUUGUGUUUGACAA